Non-coding RNA from Leptonychotes weddellii (Weddell seal), 2812 nucleotides. NCBI's taxonomy places the organism in Eukaryota, Metazoa, Chordata, Mammalia, Carnivora, Phocidae. The record is from RefSeq and is a predicted model, not a curated record.
UCCAGAUCGGCCGCUGGUAAUAGAUAACUUGGGGAGUGAGAAAUUGCUCGCCGCUGAGCUGGACCCUAACCAUGAGUCCAGCUUCCAUCCAGAAUGAUUUCUUAAAGCUAUUUCAGCACCUAGAUUCAAAUACAAAUAUCCCAAGGUGCGAAGGAAAACAUUUGUUUAGGGAAACGUUAAAAAACACGAUAGUGGGUGCCUUGGAGCCAGCACCCGCCCGGAGGCCUGCUGAUGUCCCGGGGCAGAAAUAGCCUGUUUCAUCAUCCCCUCGGAGGACCGCGGCCUGCAUUCCUCGAGUAAGGAGCCGCACUCUGCUGUGCUUUUGGAGCAAAAUAACAGGCCCAGCUGCAGGCUGGGGGAAGGCCAGGCUGGGAUUUCAGGGGGAGAGUUUCAGAAGGAUGAGAAAUAAUCAGGGAAGAGGCAAGUCCAGGAGCUGUGAGCUGCGUGGAAAGAAUGUGAAUGAAGACACAAUUCUAAAUGUAGAACCACGGACGCUAUGUGAGCUGGCUCCCUAAUCAUCCAGAAAAACAAGGCCUGCGUGUACAUUCUGCAAGAGCAUAAAUAAAGCUGUCCUCAGGCGGCGGGCUACGGCAUCCCAUCCUUGCAGUGACUUCCCUGGACCCAGCUCGCGGCCGAACCCCUGGAACAGAGGCGGGAGGGGCCCAGCUGCCUGACCGCCUGGGUGAAAAUGGCCUCGCUCUUGCCUGGAUGUGCUUGAUGCUUACUAACCUCAUUCUGCAGCAAACUGGCUCUGUUCUGCAUCUGUCUUAUUCAGAAAUGUUCAAAAGCUGGUGAUGGGGGUAAUGCAGAAUUUCUGGGGCUGGGUGUUGGAAGCUUGCGUCCCCACAAAUGACAUGAGGCGACUCCCACCAUUCUUCCACCAUUGUGGUUGUACCAGACUGCUUGGUAGGAGGCCUCAGCAGAGGUUUCUUCACUAGUGCUCAUUCUUCUUUACGAGUUGUUUGCAUAAACUUCUUCAGGAGGGUGGAGCAUUUCCUGGGCUUAAUAAUAACAGCAAAAUAGUAAAUGCUAGCUAAUACUUAUCGAACCUAUAACUCGGUGCCCUGCACUGUCCUGAGUCUUUACCUAAAUUAACCUUGAUGCUGUACACUCUUUAUCUUAGGGCCUGGCACCAUUUUGUUCUAGCCCCACCAAUUGCUACCUGUCAGGGAGCUAAGACACGAUAAGGAAACCGGUAUUUCCCGAGCAUGCAUUAUGUGCCAGGCACCGCCUGUGUGUUCUUUUACUGAAUCCUCAUGCUAUCCCAGUAUGAUGUCUAUACAUACCCCCUCUUUACAGAUGAGCAAACUGAGGCUUUCAGAGGUCCUGGGUGUCAUUCAGCUAACAGUGGCACUGAGGAUGCAGAUGAGGGUUUGUCUGUCUGCCUGUCCAGUCUGUAUAUCUCUGUGCACCCCCCAGCCCCCAACAUAAGCGCACUCCCAGCCCAAGUCCAGGGAACAUGGCUGCCUUCCACCCACCUGUUUUCCUUGCCUCUCCCUGGCAAGGGAGCAAAGUCUGGCCAGGGCACCUCCUUAGCUACUAAUUUGUUAUGGGAACUGAGGGGAUUCUGUACCUCAGUGUCGGCCCAGUGAAAGUAUAUCCUCAGGGCUGGUGCAAGGAUGGGACGUCACUGUAGGGGGUACUGCUGGAGCUUGGGCCUCGGCCGGCUGCUUACCUGCUGAGGGGCCUGAGCAAUCAGACCCCUCCCUUUAGAUGGAUUUUCUUACCAGGAACUCUGAGUUGGCUCCUUGUGAAGGGAUGUUACGUGGUAAUGUGUGUCUGGUGCCUAGCUCAGAGGAGCUGGAUAUAUCGAACUGAAGGGGGCGGGGGCACCUGUUUGCAGCUCACAGCUGGAAAACAGCCCACUGGCUCAGGUUGCUGGUACCCCUUCCCUAGGGAUGCUGCUCUCCUAGCCUCACCAGCCUCGUGCCAGGAUGGGAGUGUCAUAGUCUUAUCUCGAGUCGCCUGGGCCAGGGGGGCUCUCCUUAAGGCCUUUCCUUCAGAAUUCUUUGCUUAGGAGUUUCUAGAGAAGGAUUUCGAUGCAAGAAAUAGAACGUGUGCUGUGAAAUGAAGUAAAUCCAGUUUAUUAAAAUGCCAACAUAAUCAUGGUGGCCAGCAGAGAGGUCAGCCACCGUGCACGUGGAGUCUGUGUAAGCCAUCUCUCCUCCUGGAGGGAUCUGGAAGUUGAGAGUCAGGAGGAGAAGGGGGAGUGGAGAGCUCUACUCCCUCACAUAUGGGCCCACAAACUUUUUCUGUAAGAGGCUAAAGUAAAUGUUUUCAGCUUUGCGGGCCAGAUGGUCUUUGUCACAACUGCCCAGCUCAGCAGUGCAAGGUGGUCAGAGCUGAUCCGUAAACAAAGGGAUGUGGCUGAGUUCCAAUAAAACUUUAUUUGUGGACACACAGAUUUGAAUUUUACAUAAUUUUCCCAUAUCACAAAAUAUUCCUGUUUUGGUUUUACCACUUAAGUAUGUCAAAAGCAUUUUUAGCUUAUGAGACUACACAACACCAGGGGCAGGACAGGUUAGCUCACGGAUCAGACGUGCUGAGUAUUGAGCCACUCUCUCCGCUUCAGCCACCGCCAAGCACAUGGGCUAAUGGGCACCCGAAACCUGGCUAGUCUGAACCAAGACAUGCUGUGAGGGGGGGGAAACGCACACUGGAUUUCCAAGACAGUGCCCCAAAAAAGUCCUCCCAAAACAAAAACAGACUGCGAAAGAUCUUCUGUAUAGAAUAGUGUAUUGGAUCUUGUGUGGAUAUGAUGAUACUUUGCAUGUUGUGGCUUUAAUAAAAUAUAUUAUUAAGAUUGCUUUUA